UAAGGAUUUGGUUGAGGUUUGAUUUAGAGUUAGGAUUUGAUUUAGGAUUAGGAUUUGGUUUAGGAUUUACGAUUUGAUUAGGAUUUGAUUUAGGAUUUAGGAUUUGAUUAGGGUUUGAUUUAGGAUUAGGAUUUCGUUAGGGUUUGAUUUAGAAUUAAGAUUUGGUUUAGGAUUUAGGGUUUGAUUAGGAUUUGAUUUGGGGUUAAGAUAUGGUUAGGAUUUGAUUUAAGAUUAGAGUUUGGUUAAGAUUUGGUUUAGGGUUUAAGACUAGGGUUAGGAUUGGAUUAGGAUUUGAUUUAGAAUUAGGAUUUAGGAUUUGAUUAGGAUUUGAUUUAGGAUUAGGGUUUGAUUUAGGAUUUAGGAUUAGGAUUAGGAUUUGAUUAAGAUUUGAUUUAGAAUUAAGGUUUAGGAUUUAGGAUUUGAUUAGGAUUUGAUUUAGGAUUUAGGAUUUUAUUUGAGUUUAUUUAGGAUAUAAGAUUUAGUUAAUUUUUGGUCUAAAGUUUGAAUGAAAUAAGAUUUCAACUAGGAUUAUAUUAAGAUUGAAUUGAGAAGUAUUUGAGAUAUGUUUAUAAUCAUUCUAAAAUUUCUUUAAGUUUUCUUAUUGUUUCUUUGGAAUUACUUUGAGAUUUCUCUGAAUUUGAUUAAAGCUUAUUUAGCAUUGUUAGUAUUUUAUUAGAGUUAGGAUUUUGUUGUGGCAAUUUCCAUUCUACCUUCCAUAGUUAGGUGCCCGGAGCAUUC
Molecule: long non-coding RNA, 738 nt
Filed under: Physcomitrium patens
Lineage: Eukaryota; Viridiplantae; Streptophyta; Bryopsida; Funariales; Funariaceae
Description: long non-coding RNA (PPAT_LNC005949)
Source: RNAcentral